Molecule: microRNA precursor, 59 nt
Filed under: Limulus polyphemus (Atlantic horseshoe crab)
Lineage: Eukaryota; Metazoa; Arthropoda; Merostomata; Xiphosura; Limulidae
Description: Lpo-Mir-184-P20_pre stem-loop
Source: RNAcentral
CCUUAUCAUUCGACUGUCCAGACAGUAUUUAUAUCUCUGGACGGAGAACUGAUAAGGGC